GCUUCCUUGGCUCAGUUGGCUAGAGCGCGAGUCUCAUAAUAUGAGGUCCUAUCCAGUGACUAUAAUCUCGAGGUCGCAAGUUCGAGCCUUGCAGGGAGCA
Lentinula aciculospora is the source of this 100-nucleotide non-coding RNA. The record is from the annotation of a GenBank genome assembly. Lineage: Eukaryota; Fungi; Basidiomycota; Agaricomycetes; Agaricales; Omphalotaceae.